AACAGAGACUCGAUACCUUUUCGGUACUCUUUGCAGUCUGGCAAAUAGUCUGUUUUCCAGCACUGAAUAAACAGCAUUCCUCUUUCUUGCUUGCCACAAUCACUCGAGGCUUUGCCUGUUUGACAGAGAUAAUAGCAGCUAUUGUCAGUAAAACCUCCUGACUCAUAAAGAAGUUUAUUCCUGUUCUGCCUUCUCCAGAGAGUAACUUUACUUCAGGACACAAAGGACUGGAUUCUUCCUGCCAUCCUUGCCAGAUUUUAUUUUAUUUUUUACAUGACAGGGGAACAAAGGGAGUCCACUGUAGUUCAGAUUUACAUGGAAACAUCAUUCUUUGCUGUUUGGCAUUAGUUUGGGACAAAAAAAGAGUUGUCUUUCAGAGUUUCAGUCAAUUGGAUGUCUCAUUAUGGCAUGUAGCUGAGGUGGGAUAUAGCAAACUGAAGCAACUGAGCACUGAAUCCUCAUCACUGAAAAUGAAUACAUUAAAAAAUGAACUAAGGAGAAGACUCCUGUCUGUGUGACUGAGGCAGGGGAUGGGGAUUUGAGAAUGAGCACCAGGACAGGUAAUGGGACCUUCCCGGGGGGUAUCUGUCUGCCUGUCAUCUGCUUCCCAGCAUUUCUGGCUGAGAAGGGUCCGUAUCCAUACUCACACUCCUGGUUGCUAUCACACUUUACCUCCACAGAUCCCUGAUCACAUUGCAAACGUUAUUACAUUUAGCUUCAUGAACUGUCUUUCAUCAUAACAGAUUGUUAAUAUAACCCAUUUUAUGGUUCGAGGGAAAUAAAGAACCGAGACCGACAGCAGUUUCAGAGCCAUCAAAUCCUCAGCUGGAGAUUUCACUGGAUUUCAAGAUCCCUUCUUCCAUUCCCAUGCACUCGCUGCCAAAGAAACAUAAGUCAUGCAUGUCACUAUCUCAAUUAUAAGAGAAAAUCAAUGACUGUGCAGCCCCAUACUUUGACAAGCAAAACUACUCCUAAUACUGCAGCUUAAUACCUUUAUUAUUAUUUAUUCAAGCAGUUUUGUGCUGCUUUUCUUUUUAAACUGCUUAAGAGUCUCUGUGUUUGUAGACUGGAAGGAGGCUGCUUUUAUAUUAGUCUUUACAUUUAUCUGAACUGAUUUUAUAAGAGCAUAUGUGUAAGAUCCACAGAGCAUCAGAAAUAUUUCCCACUGCUCUCAAACAUAGACACACACUGUUUCAGGACACCCAUUAAUAAUCCCUGCUCUGGGGAGUGCCUCACUAUCAAAGUGCUGGGUUGGUUUAUUAGUUUACAGGUUAUUACUUCUCCAGUUUAGAUUUCUCUCUUGUCUCUUUUAUGAUGCAGAAUAUAGACUGUGAGCUGGAACCUCGGGUGCAGCUGGACUCUGGGCUGCGCAGCCGAGGAGAGAGGAAAGGAAUUAGUUUGCUCCCUGAUGCAGGAGCUGCUUGGGAAUUAUUCUGACCCUUGUUAUAAAUCAGGUACAUGAAGUGGAGCUGCCUGAUUCUGGUCCUUCUCACUUCAAAGUCCACUUUCCUCCUGAUAGAGGUGCUGCCAGCAUUGGGUUGGAAGGUGGUGAGUCUUUUGCACUGUCCAGAAUUGACUAUCCAGAAAUGGAAGACAAAAAGGAAGAAGAAAAUUCCAUCCUACUAAAACCUCUGGAGGAAUUUAGGUUGGCAGAAUGUUGUUACUCAAACUGGAAUGUGGCCAGGACACCAGGAUUAAUGUUAGCACAAAAUGCCAUUUGAUUGCAAGUGUUCAGAUAACCUUGGAUGAAAGUCUUAACUGAAAAGAGGCUCUUCUAACAGAAAAGGGCUCCCUCAUGUUGGCCUGGACUUUGGUUCAGGGUUGACUCUGAGAAUUUUUGCUUUUUGCUUCAGCAGUUUUUGAAUGGGACAGCUCUUGAAUGGUAACAGAUCUCCCCUACACAGCCUGCAGCACAGCAGAUUAUUUCCCAGAGAGAAUUCCAUGCCAUAGACUGAUGUUUCUUUUUAGAGAAGUUUCCUGAUAUAUCAUGCAAACAGGACAAAUAAAAGCUUGACAGAACACUUGCUAGGGGAAGGUCCUAAAGAUUAGAAAGCAGGAGAGAUGUUCAGUGUUAAGAAGGCACUGGGACAAAUGCAGAGUAGCUAUUUAUGUCAUGGAGUUGCUCAUGAACAAGUGAGACCAUCAUUUACCCCAUUCUCAUUUUAUUCUCCUCUCUGGUUGUUUCUACUGUUAAUCCUCUAAUACAUGUUGUGGCUUGGGCUGGGAAAACCAGGUGGUUUCCAGCUAAAGCUUUGGUGAUUAAGAACAGUGUUAAUCAAAAUUUCUUCUCUUUCUGUCUCUCUUUUUUUUUUUUUUUUUUCCAAUUAAAUUGUAAAUAUGUGCUGAGGAACAACCAUUAGCUUCCAGGGACUGAGAAGUGUUCCCACAUGCUUGGCCAUCUUCAGAAAACCCUGUCACAGUUACAGACCAUGAAAUAUGGAUUCCAACAGAACAAUGUUCCCCAAACCAGCUGGGACCAACAUUACAACUCAGCAUUCUUUGCAGAAGUUUAUUUGCUGUUGACUUGGAAGCUACAUUAGAGCUUUGGAGAGGAGUUUCUGCUUUUCUACACAACAAUGCAACACGGAUCCCACAGCAUCAGCUCCCACAGAGAAGCUGGAGACAGCAGGAUUGUAUCCCUGUCUGGAGGAGAAAGAGAAGUGUGCAGCUCCAUCUCUGGGUGCUCUCCUGACACUACAGCUCCAUCUUUUCGGUAAGGCAGGAGCUCCAUGCAUUGGGAACAAUCCUUACAGGGCUGUGUGCAUGGAUAAGCUGUAUGUGAGCAUGAGACUUGCUUUGCUGCUUGUUUUUGAGGGCAAAACACAUUGCUGCUGUUGUGUGGUAUGAAUGUGACCUAAACUUCUUAAAGUGGAGCUAUUUUCCAUUUUACUCAAGCUCCAUUGAUGUUUUCCCUUGUUUUCCAUGAGAAGACACUGAUUUCCACUUUUCCUCCAGCUCAGUUUUCCCAUUCCUUUCCUGCAGCACUGAGGACUUGCAUAUGAGCCAAGAUAUGAUUCCUCUAAGAAUAUAUUUAAUUUAAUAUUCUUUUUUCCAGCCUUCAUUAUUUUUCAUUUGUAGGUUAACCAGCACCUGAGAUGCUCAGUGCUUUCCCUAACUUUGUUUUAACUAGUUAAACUUUUAAAUUAAACAUUUUUAUUCCCCUCUCAUUCAGUUUGAGGGUUAUUGUAUAAUUCUGCAUUAAAAAAACCCAGCAAAUGGAGAAGUAAUCACAGAUACAUUUUGCUGAGAAGAAGUAGAUGGCAUAAAGGAUUGAACAUACUAUCCCACAGAUAUCCCUGCAUCUGACAAAAUAGGCCAAACUCAUUCUUUACAUGGCUCCACCAGGGAUGAACAAGCCUCAGGGGCUGUAAGGAAGACCACGUGCUGACUAUUUGUUUCAUGGAGUCCCUGGAAUAUUGAAUAUGUGCUUGAUAUGCAAGAGUAGGCUGAAAUCUGCAAUCAGCUCCAUGAGUGCACUUGAAUCUGAGUCAGGAGCAGUGACACCUGCGUGAUGAAGAAGGGCAUUCAUUCUGCUCUGUUCAGGUUGUACCAGCCUACUGGUGUGGACAGAGUUCAGCAUGUACUGUCUUGGGCUGAGGGAUCACACAAUCAUGCUCCAACAAUCUCCUCUAUAUAUUUCUACUACAUGCUGGACAACUCAAUGCUCUGCUGACAAGUGACAUCCCCUCUUAUCUGGGUGUCUGCUCUGUCCAUGCACAGCAGCAAACAGCAGCACACUGGACUUACCAAUAUGAAUGGGGAAAAAAGCUGUUGUGUGACCUUCACGUGGGGCUGCCUUUCCUUCUGCAAGAUCACUUCUGUCUUGGGGGCAUCAGUGUCAGUGCAACCAGUCUCCCAUUACUGCAGGCAGAUGUGAUGCAGCUGUGCAGGGUCUGUGGUGCUGUACAUCUCACACACCUGCUCCUCAUGCCCAACAUUAAUAACAGGACUUGGUACAAAAGACUAAAAGUCUCAAAGCCAACACAUGAAGAGAGAAGGAGAGACCAAUGCAUGUCACCACUGCCUUAAAAGGAAGAAUAAGAGGAGAAAAUUCCUAGGUGAUCCCUUUAUGUUAUCACUAGGAAUGGUCCUUUUGGGAAUGGUGCAAUGAAGAGCUUUUGAGAAAGUGUUGUUGAAGGAAUUUUUUUUUGGAAAUGUUAUUUCGACACAUCAGGCUAUAUUGUUUUGAUCACUCCCUUUUCAAAAGUAACUUUUAGGUUACAGUGUUCUGCUUUGAUGAUUUUUCAAACAAAGUUGCAGUCAUUUCACUUCUCCUUUAUUUUUUUAUCCACAUUUUAUCUUACGUGGGAGAAGUGAGCAAAGGAAAACAUUUGAUUGACCCAAACUACCUGCAGGACAUGCUGUUUUUGUGAAAAGAUUUAAAAUAUUCCUUUUCUCUAUUUGGGUGAAAAUCUUAGGAUGUCUCACAUUUUGGAGAAAGGACAACACUUGAGGGCAUGUGGUACCUAGACCAAGGUGCUAAACCAGGACUGGUACUGAGUCUCUCUCUGGUGCAUCUGAAUGCAAUGGGUUUUGUAUUUAUCUACACAGUGAUCCAAUGUUUCAGUCGUGCCACCAUGUGAGCACUGUCCCUGGGGAAAGCUGGGCUCAGUGCUUGGCAGGAAGGCUUUUGGGAGCAUGUGCUGCAGACUUUCACCCUCUGAAACACAGCCCAGGGCUCCUUGAGGGGAUCACCAGCAGGAUUAGCCCUCAAGGAGGGUACUCAGGUGCCCUUGAUGGGUGAUUUAAAUGGAGAAAGCAGCAUAUCUUGCUGGGGAGAAAAACAGCCUUGGCAGGUGGCCUUUGUGCAAGACAAGUGCAUGGAAGUCCUCCUUUAGAGGAAGGAGAUGUGAUGUGGUGACAAGUAUAAGGGUUAGAUCCCCUCCAUCCCCUUUGGAUUUCCAGUCAAGGCUGGAAUUCCAUGUUCCUU
Long non-coding RNA from Passer domesticus (house sparrow), 4930 nucleotides. RefSeq lists it as uncharacterized. NCBI's taxonomy places the organism in Eukaryota, Metazoa, Chordata, Aves, Passeriformes, Passeridae. The transcript is spliced from 3 exons. The record is from RefSeq and is a predicted model, not a curated record.